CUUAAUAGCAGGCUUAGACUGGUUCUGAGGGUACACAAAAGAAAAGGACAUGGGCUUAUUUCAUGUCUCUCCGUGAGUGGACAGGAAGAGAAUAAAGUCAGACAGAUUAUGGAAAAAAGACGUGUGGUGUUUGCCUCUAUGCAAAGCAUCAAGAGGAAAUCUUCCAUUGUGGAAAAAAGGUAGAGCCACAAAACAAGACAACAGUUCCAGAUCAACUCUGGAUGUACUCAGUGCCAUUUCAUUGGAUUUACUAAUCAGUGGUUCCAGAUAAGAAGGAUACACUUCUAAUCAAGACAGUGAGAAAAGAUACAGAUAAGUCUGACUUCCUUAAAUUGUGACAUUUCAAUGGACAAGUAAAGUUGUUCAGAGGACACUGGGAAAACCAGGAGUGAUAUGAAGACUUUCCUUGACUUUUCUGUGCUGAUACAGACUGCUUGGAAUAAUCGGUGAGACUUCUCCAGGAUAUCGAAGCCCAGGAAGAAAGGAAAUUGAAAUGGUUCUUCUAUGUUUUUUCUUCCCUCUUUUUAAAGGGUUCUAUAGAGGAAAUGUUAAGUCAUGGCCUGAACCAGUGAUUGAGCACCUGGUGGGAAGGCAGGGCCAAUCCAGGGAGUUCAGGUGCAUGCAAUGUACCUGAGUGACUGGAAGUGGUGGAGUCAGGAUCCAUGCCUUCCCAGACCUCAUUUAAGGGCUGGCAGUGGAGGAGAAGGUAUCUUGCUUGAGAUUCCUGUGUCCCUGAGGCCUUCUGAAGGGAACCUCGUGUUUCAAGCCUUAUGUUACACAACUGCAAUAGGACUUGAGCUACUCUUAAACAAGAGUAAACAUCUAGUUUACGAGAUCCUGAAAUCUCCUUUGCUAGCAGUUUAGAAAGAUCGAUUGGGAAAAUGUGCUUGAGGCAUCCGUCAACUUCAGUCUUGCCAUCAGCUGGAGAAGUCAACUGUAUGGUGUUUCCUUGAAUAAAUUUGCUGGUGUGACUGAAUUCACAAAACACUGACUGAGUCGGAAUGAACUGCUUUUCUUGCUCCAAAAAUAAUAACUUACUACAGGAAAUGCAUUUGUGAGCUUUACCUGGUAAGAACACCAAAUCAAGCUUUACUAUAUCAUUUUUUAGCAGAAUGGAAAUGCACUGAGAGCAAUUGUUUGUGCAAGUCUGUACGUGAAUGAGAAGAGUAACAGAUUGCUGUUGCAGUGUUCAAGAAGGUAACAUGGAUUACUGCAGUCAAAUUUCCAGAACAUUGAAUUUCUAUGUAGAUAGCUGUGUCAGUGACCUAGAGGUCCUGACUGAAGAAUGAUCCUGUGUUGGAGCAAAGCUUUCUGACAAAAUAACUGGUGGCUUCAUGACAAGAACUGUGGACCACAUGAAAGUUCUGAGGAAAACAGGACUUGCAGCUGGAGCUGCUUCUCUUGUUUCAGUAGGAAGCUGGCUUUACUAGUUUGUUUUGCAAAGAACUUUUUUCCUGCAAGCAGGUGUUCCUCGUGGGCUGCACAUCAAGCACUGGCCCCACAGAUGCAGUAUGCAAGUGAAAAGAACCCUGAAGAGAAUAAAAACAGGAGGGAGCUGUGGCAGAUUUGUGAGAAAGGAAGCACACCUUGAAACAGGGGAUGCCCUGGUGACAAUUCUUGCCAAAUGCACUGCGUGUUUUUUGUCCUACUCUGCCUUUUGUCCCUCUCUCAAGAAUUAGCAAGUAAUAUUGCAUUUUGCUUAAUGAGUCUUCUGCUGACCUAAUUGAGGUAACUGAAAUUAUCUGGAAUAGAUGCCUAUGUGUGUAUUCAAUAAAUUUUGUAAUCCUUUGUGCCUCUGAGUUUGUAACUUGCUUGCUUCCGCUCCUGAGGCAUCCUAUCUCUCAGAUUUAUAUAUACCCUGAAUCAGUGGCUUACCUUGACCUUUUUUUUAAUCCUGUUUCCUAAUGACCUAAGAAAACUUAGUGUUUCCAAGUAUCCAUAGUAAACACAAACCUAGAUGCAUGCUGCAGAAGCAUUUCACCCACCCAACUGCACAUCAGAAGAUGUCUGAGAAGAAACCACAUACUUCUGUCAGGCAAAAGGAGUUACUACACUUGGUGACCUCUUGUAAGAAGUCAUUCUUUUACGCUAUUGCCUCAAAGCUUGAGGAGGGACACAGAUAAACAAGUUCAAG
Molecule: long non-coding RNA, 2134 nt
Organism: Gallus gallus (chicken)
Lineage: Eukaryota; Metazoa; Chordata; Aves; Galliformes; Phasianidae
Source: Ensembl